CUAGCUCCUUCCUCCCACGCUUUCCUGAGUAAUUUGAUGUCCUGGGGCAGGAUGAAGGACUGAGGGAAGAAAUUAAACUCCUUCUUCCCACAACGAGUCUGCAUCUUCAACAGGUUGCGCCACAGACGGUCCUUUCUCCCAAUUUGAAAUGAACCAGGGAAGUGGUUUAGCUUCUGGUGCUCCCUGAUGGCUCUGAAGCCGGGGGACUUCAUGUGGUG
This 218-nucleotide long non-coding RNA is filed under the name Gallus gallus (chicken). Lineage: Eukaryota; Metazoa; Chordata; Aves; Galliformes; Phasianidae. The record is from RNAcentral.